UAUUUCAGCCUCUCUCAAAAAGAUCGUAGCCUUCUCUCAAAAAGAUCGUCGGAAGGGGCAGCCGUGAGGGAUUUGGGUCUGGUGUUGGAUUUGAGAGGAGAUAGGCUGGAACGGUGGGUUUGCUUCGUGGUAUUUGGUUGUAGACGGAGCUCUCGGUCUGGAAAUCGAGGGGUCGUCGUUUUGGGUCUUGUCACAUUAGAGAGAUGGGUUGUUGGUGUUGGAGAGCAAAAAGAAAAAGGAUAAUAGGCUUGUGGUAACAGGGGCUCUUAUGGGCAGUGGCUAAUUUCGGCGUGGCUGUUGGGACUGGACACACUGUGGAGAUGGCGAGUAUAGGGGUAUGGUGGUCUCGGGUGGAGACUGACUUGGGAGAGGUGGUUUGCUGUGGAUUCUUGACCAACGGUGGGAGGCUGGUGGCUAAUAUGGUUGUUGAGUUUUACGGGUCUGUGGUAGCUGUUGAAGAUGGGUUUACAGAGUGGGUUAAGGGUUGUGUUUGUGAGGCUGUUCACGGUGAAGGGACUUCUGGUUGCAGCUGCUGUGAGGGCUGUUACGAGGGUGGUUUUCGCUGCCUGUCGUAGUGAUGAAUG
This 584-nucleotide long non-coding RNA is filed under the name Populus trichocarpa (black cottonwood). RNAcentral's name for it is "long non-coding RNA (PTRI_LNC004767)". Lineage: Eukaryota; Viridiplantae; Streptophyta; Magnoliopsida; Malpighiales; Salicaceae. The record is from RNAcentral.